GAUGAAGAACGUAGCGAAAUGCGAUAAGUAAUGUGAAUUGCAAAUUCAGUGAAUCAUCGAGUCUUUGAACGCACAUUGCGCCCCCUGGUAUUCCGGGGGGCAUGCCUGUCCGAGCGUCAUUGCUGCCCUCAAGCACGGCUUGUGUGUUGGGCCCCGUCCUCCGAUCCCGGGGGACGGGCCCGAAAGGCAGCGGCGGCACCGCGUCCGGUCCUCGAGCGUAUGGGGCUUUGUCACCCGCUCUGUAGGCCCGGCCGGCGCUUGCCGAUCAACCCAAAUUUUUUAUCCAGGUUGACCUCGGAUCAGGUAGGGAUACCCGCUGAACUUAAGCAUAUCAAUAAGCGAGGA
RNAcentral lists this unclassified non-coding RNA (345 nucleotides) under soil metagenome. RNAcentral's name for it is "partial contains 5.8S ribosomal RNA, internal transcribed spacer 2, and large subunit ribosomal RNA". The stretch from base 1 to 119 matches the Rfam family "5.8S ribosomal RNA", at positions 35 to 154 of the family's 154-position model. The record is from RNAcentral.